AGCAUCACACCCCUGAGGGAGGAGGAAUGGGACGAGGAAGAGGAGGAGGAGGCCGACGCCCCUGCACCUUCGUCACCACCCACGUCUCCAGUCAACUCCAGGUUUUCCAGUGGCCUUUUUCUUUUUAACAGAAAUUUGAAAUUUCUUAUCAGUCAUUUGAUUUGUUUGAGGUGCUUCUUGAAAUGAGCCUCUCAUCUCAUGUACUUGGAAAAUACCCAUCUCGCAUAUUCCACAGGAAACACCGGGCUGGAGUUGACAUCCACUCCUGUUCACAGUUUUUGCUUGAGUUGUACAGCCGCUGGAUCCUGCCGUCCAGCUCAGCCAGGAGGACCCCGGCCAUCCUCAUCAGUGAGGUGGUCAGAUCCCUUCUAGUGGUCUCAGACUUGUUCACCGAGCGCAAC
This 401-nucleotide small RNA is filed under the name Pan troglodytes (chimpanzee). Its description in RNAcentral is "retained intron". Lineage: Eukaryota; Metazoa; Chordata; Mammalia; Primates; Hominidae. The record is from RNAcentral.